Suricata suricatta (meerkat) is the source of this 101-nucleotide long non-coding RNA. RefSeq lists it as uncharacterized. The transcript is spliced from 3 exons. NCBI's taxonomy places the organism in Eukaryota, Metazoa, Chordata, Mammalia, Carnivora, Herpestidae. The record is from RefSeq and is a predicted model, not a curated record.
UGGACAUUGGGAACUCAGUUUUCUUAUCAACAAACUUCCUCAUCUUCAAAAUGGAUGAGAAUAGCACUGCCUCAUAGGAGCAGCACCCAUGUUUUAGACCU